Long non-coding RNA from Aegilops tauschii subsp. strangulata, 1551 nucleotides. RefSeq lists it as uncharacterized. NCBI's taxonomy places the organism in Eukaryota, Viridiplantae, Streptophyta, Magnoliopsida, Poales, Poaceae. The record is from RefSeq and is a predicted model, not a curated record.
CUAGCGCGGCUCUUAGCCCCUCGUUGCUGCUAUUGGCACCUUAUCCACCACGCAUGUUUUCUCUCUUACUCACUCUCCCCUCACACACUCUCUUGCUCGCUCUCUGCUGUCUCCCGCCAGCCGCUACCAUCGCCUGGCGCCGCCCGCUGUUGCCCUCGCUCCUCCACCGGGGUACCGAAUAAAAUAUAAAAAUGUUGUUGCCAAUUAUAUCGAUGAUCUAAAUUUGUCACUCGGUGAAAUAUGCACGCUUUCUCGUGUCAUGUCUCCUUGGAGUGAUCAUCAUCGGAGCUUCCUCUACUUCCUCAGCUGAGUGGGUAAGAUAAAAGUUCACCACCUCCUCCUCCUAUGCUCUUUGUUUCAUGUCACUAAAACAUUUUGUCGAGAGUGGUACGGUUUGUAUAUAUGAUGAUAUUUGGACAUGUAUUGGUUGUCUCUUUGGACAUGUGUAUAAUUUUGCAGGGAACACCUCCGAGUGGUAUAUUUUUGCCGGAAUGUUGAUUUGUUUCCUUUCUGGCAAUUUUAAGGCGCUCGAUGUGUCCUAUUUUAGCAAAGAUCAUGCCGAAUUUGUUGGUUUGUUGGGAUCCGAUCUUCUUGGAGUUCUAUUCGAUGUAAUCCUUUUUUACGGUGUGUUUGUUGGGAUCCGAUGAAUUGUGGGUUUAUGAUCAGAUUAUUCAUUGAAAGUAAUUGAGUCUUUUCUGAACUUUAUUAUGCAUGAUCGUUAUAGCUUUGUAUUUCCCUCUGAUCUAUCUGUUUGGUUUCGCCAACUAGACUGAUUUAUCUUCAAUGAGAGAGAUUCUUUAUGGUGGGUUCAAUCUUGCGGCGCUCUAUAUCCCAGUGACAAAAGGGGACAAGACACAUAUUUGUAUUGUUGUCAUUAAGGAUAAAACGGCGGAGUUUAUUCAUGUUGAUUGGGUUUACUUUGUCUACAUCAUGUCAUCUUGCUUAAGGUAUUACUCCGUUUUUCAUGAACUUAAUACCAUAGAUGCAUGCUGGAUAGUGGUCGAUUGGUGGAUUAGCUGUAGUAGAUGCAAGGAGUCGGUCUACUUGUCUCGGACGUGAUGCGUAUAUACAUGAUCAUUGUCGUGAAUAUGUCAUAACUAUGCGCUUUUAUAUCAAUUGUCCAACAGUAAUUUGUUCACCCACCGCACUUUAUGUGCUCGAGAGAGAAGCCUCUAGUGAAAACUAUGGCCCCCCGGUCUACUUUUAUCAUAUUAUAAAAACAAAAAUACCUUGCUGCAAUUUAUUUACUUUUAUUUUACUUUUCCAUUUAUGCAUCUACCUAUACAAGAUUUGAUCCUUGCAAGUAACGAGUUCAACAGGAUUGACAACCCUCUUGCCCGGUUGGAUGCAAGUAUUUGCUUUUGUGUGUGCAGGUAUUGUUCACGAGGCUUUGCGUGAUUCUCCUAUUGGUUCGACAAACCUUGGUUCUCGCUGAGGGAAAUACUUAUCUCUACUAUACUACAUCUCCCCUCCUCUUUGGGGAAAAUCCCAACACAGCUCACAAGUAGCAGAUGCUAAGCAUUGUCUCGUAUAAUUGUUUGUGAUGGCUCA